Small nucleolar RNA from Alligator mississippiensis (American alligator), 82 nucleotides. It matches the Rfam family "Small nucleolar RNA SNORD19B". The record is from Rfam. NCBI's taxonomy places the organism in Eukaryota, Metazoa, Chordata, Crocodylia, Alligatoridae.
GCUGGGUUGAAACAUGAUGAAAAGCAAAAACUCUUGACGCAAGAGUGAAGAUGGCAAGAUCCAACUCUGAUUUCUCCCAGUC